AUUGAACGCUGGCGGCAGGCCUAACACAUGCAAGUCGAGCGGAUGAAGGGAGCUUGCUCCUGGAUUCAGCGGCGGACGGGUGAGUAAUGCCCAGGAAUCUGCCUGGUAGUGGGGGAUAACGUCCGGAAACGGGCGCUAAUACUGCAUACGUCCUGCGGGAGAAAGAGGGGGAGCUUCGGACCUCACGCUAUCAGAUGAGCCUAGGUCGGAUUAGCUAGUUGGUGGGGUAAAGGCCUACCAAGGCGACGAUCCGUAACUGGUCUGAGAGGAUGAUCAGUCACACUGGAACUGAGACACGGUCCAGACGCCUACGGGAGGCAGCAGUGGGGAAUAUUGGACAAUGGGCGAAAGCCUGAUCCAGCCAUGCCGCGUGUGUGAAGAAGGUCUUCGGAUUGUAAAGCACUUUAUGUUGGGAGGAAGGGCAGUAAGUUAAUACCUUGCUGUUUUGACGUUACCAACAGAAUAAGCACCGGCUAACUUCGUG
This 484-nucleotide ribosomal RNA is filed under the name uncultured bacterium. Its description in RNAcentral is "partial 16S ribosomal RNA". It matches the Rfam family "Bacterial small subunit ribosomal RNA", at positions 30 to 507 of the family's 1533-position model. The record is from RNAcentral.